CGCAGUUUACUGUUCAUUUUGCUUGCUUCUACGGUCACCCCUGCCUUAACUCCUAGGCUGAUUCAGAAGUUCUCAAAGGCAUCAUACGUAUAUGCCAUGCUAAAGAGAGGAGAUCGAUGUGAAGGUGAAACCAGUCGCAAACCGCGUUCAAGUUCGAACAUCAAAGAAGUCAGCCAAAGCACAAGCUAUUGCGCAGGUCAGUAAAAGAUCUAUCCAGCUGCAUAAUAACAGUUCGCCAUAUUCAAGGACUGUGGAAAAUAAUCAGGUAGCUGUUCACGUACGGCUGUUCCGUAGUGAGAGUGGGAGAGACGAAUGCAGAUGACCGUCAUGUGUACCCUGCCUAUAUCACCGCGUCUGCGCUGGGAUCUCACGUUACAAAAUGUCGAUGCAGAUGGUACCUCAAUCAGCAGUUAUCGCCUCACGUCAAAGGUUCCAGUUGGACUACAACUCGAGGACUCAUGCUUACGGGUUUAAUGCGGAGUCGUGUUAAGCACGCUGUUUUUCUAGCGCUUACUGUCCAGCCAGCCCUGGGGCGAGCAUCAAACUAAUUGUCAGCACGUAUAGCAAUCCAAGCCCAAGCGCCCAUGCCGUAAUAACAGCUGUCGUAUGUGCCUCCUGCAUCCAGCAUACGGCACCCCAACAAGCCGAGCGAUCGGGCACAAUCUUUAGGGCCGCAUACAUGAUCAUCCAAACCAACGAAUUCCCACGAUAUUCCAGUCGAAAAGGGCAGAUGCUUAUCAUGCGUCUGUUAUGCAUCAGCAUGCAGCAAAACAACCAUGGCCUUUCGUUGCGAAAUAGGAACGAACUUGAAUCCAGAAAAACCGACCAACAUGCCAUUAACCACGCAAUCACGUUAAUAUGGGUUGAGGAGGGUUAACGAGUGCACUCUGCGCCGUUCACACAGCCAGCCAUUCCCUUCUUCCCCACCCCACCACCAACCAUACCGUUGCACGCCCUGUCUCGUUUCUAGCUCCCCACCAGCCUCAUCUGCCCAUCAAUCUCACGACCCAGCCGCCCCUCAUCCUCGC
RNAcentral lists this long non-coding RNA (1028 nucleotides) under Volvox carteri. RNAcentral's name for it is "long non-coding RNA (VCAR_LNC004155)". Lineage: Eukaryota; Viridiplantae; Chlorophyta; Chlorophyceae; Chlamydomonadales; Volvocaceae. The record is from RNAcentral.